GACUCCCCUUCUACAUUGGAAGAGAUCGAAGGAGGUGCACAUUCAAUCUGCUGAGGUGGAGAGACGACGACCUCUACUUCCGAGACCGGCUGCUCCUGAGGUCGAGGAGGGGAGCUCGGUACUUCUACCAAGUCUUGUCGAGGUGUUUGAGCAGCGGUGGCAGUAGCCUCUUUCAUCGCUCGUACCUUUUGGGAGACCUCCCUCUUUCGCUUGC
RNAcentral lists this unclassified non-coding RNA (214 nucleotides) under Hevea brasiliensis (rubber tree). The record is from RNAcentral. Lineage: Eukaryota; Viridiplantae; Streptophyta; Magnoliopsida; Malpighiales; Euphorbiaceae.